This 107-nucleotide small nuclear RNA is filed under the name Rhinolophus ferrumequinum (greater horseshoe bat). The record is from RNAcentral. Lineage: Eukaryota; Metazoa; Chordata; Mammalia; Chiroptera; Rhinolophidae.
GUGCUCGCUUCGGCAGCAAAUAUACUGACAUUGGAAUGGUACAGAGAAGAUUAGCACGGCUCCCACGCAAGGAUGACACGCAAAUUUGUGAAGCGUUCCAUAUUUUU